AUUGAACGCUGGCGGCAGGCUUAACACAUGCAAGUCGAGCGGGGGAAGGUAGCUUGCUACUGGACCUAGCGGCGGACGGGUGAGUAAUGCUUAGGAAUCUGCCUAUUAGUGGGGGACAACAUCUCGAAAGGGAUGCUAAUACCGCAUACGUCCUACGGGAGAAAGCAGGGGAUCUUCGGACCUUGCGCUAAUAGAUGAGCCUAAGUCGGAUUGCUAGUUGGUGGGGUAAAGGCCUACCAAGGCGACGAUCUGUAGCGGGUCUGAGCGGAUGAUCCGCCACACUGGGACCGGGACACGGCCCAGACUCCUACGGGAGGCAGCAGUGGGGAAUAUUGGACAAUGGGGGGAACCCUGAUCCAGCCAUGCCGCGUGUGUGAAGAAGGCCUUAUGGUUGUAAAGCACUUUAAGCGAGGAGGAGGCUACUUUAGUUAAUACCUAGAGAUAGUGGACGUUACUCGCAGAAUAAGCACCGGCUAACUCUGUGCCAGCCGCCGCCGUAA
Molecule: ribosomal RNA, 500 nt
Filed under: uncultured bacterium
Lineage: Bacteria
Description: partial 16S ribosomal RNA
Rfam family: Bacterial small subunit ribosomal RNA
Source: RNAcentral